Long non-coding RNA from Centrocercus urophasianus (Greater sage-grouse), 4486 nucleotides. RefSeq lists it as uncharacterized. The transcript has 4 exons. The record is from RefSeq and is a predicted model, not a curated record. Lineage: Eukaryota; Metazoa; Chordata; Aves; Galliformes; Phasianidae.
CACAGCCCAGCCCUGGGAGACGUGGCAGCGCGGAGCCGCAGAGAGGCACCGCACCGGUUUCACGGAGCUUCACGUUCCCUUUUAUUUUCCCUCAUAUGCAGUGACGCGGUCAGUUCACAAAGGAAAUUCACACCGUGUGAGCUCCGUGCAGCCCACAGGGGCGAUUCACAGCCGGGAGUGCUCCGCGUGCUUCUUCCGCACGUUUCUCAGCUCCCCGCUCCUGCGCUGUCUCCAUCUGCUUUCCGCUGCUUUUCUCCGUCGGCUGUGCCCUGUGUUCUUUUCGCAGCUCCUCGUGCACUCCAGCAGUCAGUUUGGAAAUAUGUGUGACUUUAAACGUGUCUUAGUGAUGGACUUUGGCUGCAAUUGCUUACAGUGUUGGUGGUGUUCAGGUUUGUUCUGUUUUUAAUCUAAAAUAAGUGCCUGUCUGUGGAGCUGGGGAUGUUCCAUGGGAGCAAUUCUGCAGGGAGCACAUGCAGCCUGUGUGAGUCAGUGCUGUGUUUCCUUAAAAAAGUGCAAAACUGAAAGGUCAUCAAAUCUUAAAGAAAGAAAAAUCAAACUUAAAAUCGCAAGGAACAAAAGCAUCACUUUGGGGAAGACGUGCUCGCUCCGGGCCUCUGCUCUGGUUUUGAUGUAAUGCUCCACAGAAUCGGCGAAUGCGAACUUCUCCGGGCUGUAGCCCAGCUGCCUGCGGGCCUUGUCGAUGCUGAAGGUGUGCGUUGUGGAGACGUUCUGCACCUGUCAGCAAAGGAGCCAACACACAAAGUGAGUGUGCCGAGAGUCCAAAGAAGCAGUAAAGGCUGCACAGCACGAUUUACUCCUGAAAACAUCCACAAAGUGUUCUGCACUCCUAUGUAUGUAAGGACACAGUAAAAGUCAUCCCUAGGGUGCCUGAAGGGUCUUCAAACCUUAGGUCCCAGCUGUACUCAUAUGAUAGCCACUGUUAACAGAAGAAUGCCCAAGCAAUGAGGAUGAUGGCUAUCCAAAGGAGGACCCUGCUUCAGAAAGUCCUUUUGUCUCACUAUGUAGUUCUUCUCGGGAGUGAGAGCUUCAGCAGCCAGAAUUUGAGCUUGUACAAGGUUCUCUACGUGCACCCAGUUCAUUUUAGCAGAAGGAUCCCCAAACUUGAAGUUAAGUAUCCCUCUUUCAAUAUUCCUCUAUAGACAUAAAACAAACAUGAAACCAAAGCAAGAAAUAAGACUGGAAAUAUGUGUUGCUCUAUCUCCUUUCAUCAGUAUUUUGGUUUAAGUUGUAUGCAAGCAGAUUUUUGAAAUAUCAUAGAAUGGCCUGACUUUUAUAAUUACAGUAAGCAUUACAUUGUAAAGCUGGACUUCCAUGUGUUUGUAUUUAAAAAGAGGCUUUUUUAAUGUAUUAUGCAUUCUUUGUAGAUGUCAUACAGUGUCUGACCAAAAAAAGUUGCAAUAUCAUCAACAGACAAUCGAACUGUUCAACUGAUGCCAGAUCAGAAGGUUGGUCAGUCUGUAAUACACAUAAGUGAUGCUGUUCAGUACCCCAGAAAAUGCUGCUGAUUAGAAAAUGGAAGUACAUACUGCUAGCCUUGGCAGAUGUCUUUGCUCCUCUGGUCCAUAAAUUCCUGGCGGGCGAAGAACACAUGUAUGCAGUGCUCCACCUCCUGGGAAAAUUGAGACAACGAUUCAAACCACGUGAGCUUCACACGACUUACGUUAUCACCGCAUGAGCUGAAGAAUGCUGUAGCAUAACUUACUCUAAAUUAAAUUUGCUUCACCAGCUUAAAAAGACCACACACCAGAAAGUGCUGAACUAGUAGAUGAAUAUUGGCAAAUCAAACCAUGCAAAAUAACAAGACAGGAUUCAAAAAAUCCUGCCAGCAAUAUUCCAUAGGGGCAGGGAGGGACUCAGAGGUCUUUAAAGGUUCCUUCCAGCCCAAACCAUUCUAAGAGCUCUCAAAGCAUUGGCAUAGCUAAAUUCCUAGAAUUUACUAGAUAUUUCCAAACUUCUAACCAACCAGUCCUUUAUCUCUGUGCCAAAGCAGUCGGUGAGAGUGCCAGCUGUGGGGAUGAAUUUGCUGAAGUGAGCAAGUCAUUAGUGAGAAUGUGGAAUGAAAGCAAACUGAUCUCUUAGAAAAUUAUUGCAGGGAAACAGUAUCUCACUGUGUGUGCAAGAUGGAGCUGAAAGGCUCUCAGUAGUAGGCACAGCCUGCUCCCACUAGAACUGCUGUGGAACCUCUUGAGAACCUCAGUGGGAGAAAGUAAGGGCCACUGUAAAAAUCCAGUGAUUCCCAAGUGUAGCAGUUGACUGGUUUGUCAUCUUCUGUUCUUAAUAACUCUUCCUAAUAUUACUUGAAAACCUGCAAAAUACUCAUUCAUGCUGAGAGCACAGGAUCUAAUUGAGAUGUUUGGAACAGUGGCUGGCUAAAAUCCCAAUGAAUUGCUUUGAUCCUUUGCACAGGUAAAUUAGUGUGAGUUUCAUUGAGAAAUGCACAACUAUCUAUACUGCUCCCAAAAUCAGAGCAUCUUUGAUAUGUUGAGCUGCUAAGAAAGGAGAAAAUAAGAAAAAAAGCUUUUUGGACAAAAUAAUUCUAUGGCUGUGAAAUGCCAGUCAAUGACUUGAUAUCUGUUUAUAGCUCUCUGCAAGUAUCAGGUGCAGAAAGUCUUUUUUCUAAGUUGCCCACAGCUAAAUUGAGCCCUGUGUCACUCGUUGGCAGGGCGUCACGUUGCACUUUACAUUAAUUUGCUUUGUGCAGGCAGCUACAGUAUCUCACAGGUGAGCUUAAGUAUUCAAGUGUACAACUGCCUUCCUCAACACGGAAAACUUUGGGAAGCACUAAUAAAUAAUUCCAGGCUGUAGUAUCAGGUGCCUUAUUCAGAUUUUAAUAUAUAAGGGAAGGGGAGAACAAUUUCAUCAGCAUUCAUGUUCUACUUAUGCUGCAUAUUGCAGCGACAUAAACACAUUACUGUUUAAUUUAUUGCUGUCUUAAUCUUUUCAAUGAAGAUGCUGAACUCACUGCUGCCAUGCCAAGACCUUCUCUUGGCACUGUGAGAACUACAAUUAAAAGUGAUUUUUAAGAGAAAAUCCUUCAGUCUGUGAGAAGGGGAAGUAACUUGAUUUCUUAACUGCUGGACACUCUUGUCUACUGAAUGACUGAUACAGGAUGCAGGAUGUUAGUGAGGCAAGGGAAGAAGAGGAGUACAUUUUACUAUGAACUGCUAACAGAAAAGUACCUGCUAGUGGAGUUCCAUUAGCUGCUAGUACCAUUUGUUCUGCAAUUGAUUUGGUUCUGGAAUAAUGAUCAACAUGCUACAGAGAAAAAGCAGACAGGUUUGUAUCUAUUCUUGACAUGGCAUAACAGAGAGGCAUUGCUUCUCUACUCCCUUCUUACAUAGCAGAUGACAACAAACACCUCACAAUAUGGAAGUUUUGGGAUACUGGUUUAGGAUAAAAUAUGUGCAGAUUGUUAAGGCAAGCAAACAUUUUUGUUUAUGCAAACCCAGUUAAUUAAUUUCAGCCCAUUUGAGAAGUAAUAAAUAUAUGUAUGCUUUAAUGCUGCCAAGAAUGUAAUUGAUCAGUACUUAGUAAUCUGGAUUUCUUUUUCAGGUAACGGAAAAAUCAGGAGCCAACUUUUUAAGACAUCAGGACUGGUCUGUAUUCUAGAGUUUGUUCUCUUGUUGCACUGCCUCAGAGAAAAUAGUAUUUGAUAUAUUGUAUUAUUCAAAAUGCCAGGCUUUUUUUGGGGGGGGGGUGGAGGGGGGAAAGAAGAAUGUAAACAAAGAAGAAAAGUGAAAAAAUAAUACAACCCAAAUACCUUUUCUAUAGGAAAAUAUGGCACAGUUUCCUCAUCACCAUCUUCAAUAGGAAGCCCUCCAAACACCACAUUCACUGUACUGGUGUAUAUCAAUCUAGUGACGUUCCUUUGUUUGCAAGCUGCAGCAAUAUAUAAAGUAAAGUAGUUCAGUGGAAGCUUGAACAAAAUAGAAAAAAACCUGUAUGAAAGGGAGGUGUGCUUCUUGAGAGAAACUUGUUAGAUUUUCUGGCAAAUCUUAGAAGAGCAAAUCCAUUUUAUUAUUGGAUUAUUUAAGACACAAAGUAUAUGGAAGACAACAGUUAAAUAGAAAAUAUCUGUUCAGAACCAAGUGCUUUAUUAUUCUGCAUCUCCUAAUUUAGGUAAUGUAAGCUAACAGUUUGCCUUUGGGCUGGCUGCUACCAGCCUGGUGAGAGGGCUGCAGCCCCAGCCGGGUAGGUAGCUGGAAGACUUUCUGUUCCAAGGGCUGCCCACGACCUGCGCACACACUGUAAUGCAGCAGUGAGGCUUACAGCAUGGAAAGCUGUUCAUGUCUUACAUGCAUACAGACUCUGCCAUAAUGUCAGACAUGAUUAUGACAAGCUGAAGUAGUUGAACUGUAGUGCUGACACUAAUAUCUUGCCCCAGGUAUGAAAAGACCAUUGACAUGUUUCCUCAUCUUCUGUCAAAACUGUGAUGUAUUUGGUAAAAAAAAGCAGUUCAUGACAA